RNAcentral lists this long non-coding RNA (1709 nucleotides) under Macaca fascicularis (crab-eating macaque). RNAcentral describes it as "lncRNA (ENSMFAG00000065702.1)". Lineage: Eukaryota; Metazoa; Chordata; Mammalia; Primates; Cercopithecidae. The record is from RNAcentral.
AUGGCACGAGCACGUGCGGCGCUCAGCUUAGGCUCUCGGAGGCAGCUGAGUUGGAAAUUCCGACGAAAGGCACCCACACACUCCCACUCUGCGCUGGCCCACCCGCGUGCACGCCCACCCCCCACGCGCGUCGAUUUCACCCUAGCUCAGAAGCGCACAGAUGUUUACAGCUUAGAGCCGGGCUCCGCAGACGGACGACAGAGGAUUAUCCGUAAACUUAAAUGGGGGUUCCUCCGCCCCUCUCUGUCCUCCCGCCACCACAGCCAGGCCGGACGCAGAACCGCACGGAAGCCUCCCCUACUCCCGCCACUCUGUUAUCAAAACAUGCAAAUGAGAUUUUCCAACAGGAUCUUAAACAAAUCUGGAGGAGUUAAUGCCGAAGCAAAAUAAUCCGCACGUUUGAAGUGACUGUGAGUUUCAGUUUGUCUUUUCUCCCGUGAUAUUAUUGCAAGGGAAUGAUAAUUAGACCUUUAGAAAUCCAAAGGGGCUCUCUUGCUCUCUUCCCUCUCUCAUUUCUCUCUCUCUCUCUCUCUCUCUCUCCUUCCCUCUCUCUCUCCUCCUCCUCUCUCCCUCCCUCCCUCUCCCUUUCUUUCUAACUCUGAUGUUGGCAAAGGGGGGUUUCUUAAUCAGACUGUUUUUUGGUCCCAGGGAAAGGAGGAAGAAGGAGAUUGUGAUGGAGAAAGGGGGUCUGUGAAACGUCAGGCACCGCACAAAGGCUUUGCCACGUAAUUACAGGCUCCUAUUAAGUCGAGAUCUGCCCUCCCAGGGGUCUCCAAUUUUCUUGUAUUCCCUACAAAGCCUCCUCUGCAUGCCAGUUUGUGCCUUUUGAAGUGCCAGAGAGCUUCUUGAUCCAACUGAGAAGGAAAAAGGAGCCCAGCAAGAAGAGGGGGAGAGAGAGAAGGGAAAGGGGGGAACCCAACAGCACCCUCCUUCGGACUCUUGAAGCCUUUUUUUUUUUAAUUCUUAAUUUUUUUUUUUUUUUUUUUUUUUUUUUUUUUACUCUUUACAAAAAGUAAAGUGAGAAUCCUGCUCUCUAAUACAUCUGCAAGACAUCACCCUCUCCUCCUGAAACUUUAGUCACUCCUGAGAAUCCACAGGAGUGCAGAGAGGGGGGAACACGUUUUCUUGAAGAUGUUUUAAAGCUGGAACAAGCCUUCUUCUGUUGGUGCUUGAACUCUUGCCUGGGAAUAACUUUUUUAACCUUUGAAAAAAACCCUUCACUUUGAUUCUUCUCUCCCACCCCUUCUUCUCUCUUCUUCUGUUUGCCUAACUCCCCCGCCCUGCUGGCCUCCGCUUUCCUUUCUCCCCCUUAUUAUUAUUUUUAGUCUGUGCGUGUGGACACUUUUGGAGAGUUGGAAGGGAUUUUUUUCUCCUGACUUGAACAUAGGGUGACUUUUUAAUAUUGUAUUUUAGUGUGGAUUAUCUCUUUGGACCGCCCCGGACUUGGCCUCAGGAAAGCAACCAAGGCUGUGGAAGGCGGCUGGUGCAGAACGCUCUGCUCUACAGAAGGGGGUCCCCCGCCCUCUUUUCCACUUUUUUUUUUUUUUUUUGGCCUUCCUCUCCUUCCCUCCCUCUUCCUCUCUCUCUCUCUCUCUCUCUCUCUCUCUCUCUCUCUCCACUACCCCCCUCUUUCUUCCCCACUCGGCUCCUCUCCCCCCUUGCGCCCACAGCGUUUGGUGUUGAUUCGAGCGGGAAGAGAGGGGGGUGGG